RNAcentral lists this ribosomal RNA (253 nucleotides) under uncultured bacterium. Its description in RNAcentral is "partial 16S ribosomal RNA". It matches the Rfam family "Bacterial small subunit ribosomal RNA", at positions 524 to 776 of the family's 1533-position model. The record is from RNAcentral.
UACGAAGGGGGCUAGCGUUGUUCGGAAUCACUGGGCGUAAAGCGCGCGUAGGCGGUCUUUCAAGUCAGGAGUGAAAGCCCCGGGCUCAACCCGGGAAUAGCUCUUGAUACUGUUGGACUUGAGUCCGGGAGAGGAUAGUGGAAUUCCCAGUGUAGAGGUGAAAUUCGUAGAUAUUGGGAAGAACACCAGUGGCGAAGGCGGCUAUCUGGACCGGUACUGACGCUGAGGCGCGAAAGCGUGGGGAGCAAACAGG